CUCCUCACCCUGGCAGGAGAGAUACCAUGACCACGAAGGUGGUUUUCCCAGGGUGAGGCUCACCCAUUGCACUGCGGGUGUGCUGACUCCUGCGAUUUCCCCAAAUGCGGGAAACUCGACUGCAUAAUUUGUCAUAAGAGGCUUG
This 145-nucleotide small nuclear RNA is filed under the name Chelonia mydas (Green sea turtle). RNAcentral describes it as "U1 spliceosomal RNA". It matches the Rfam family "U1 spliceosomal RNA", at positions 8 to 148 of the family's 166-position model. Rfam says of the family: U1 is a small nuclear RNA (snRNA) component of the spliceosome (involved in pre-mRNA splicing). Its 5' end forms complementary base pairs with the 5' splice junction, thus defining the 5' donor site of an intron. Lineage: Eukaryota; Metazoa; Chordata; Testudines; Cheloniidae. The record is from Rfam by way of RNAcentral.